Molecule: ribosomal RNA, 495 nt
Filed under: fungal sp. E14934C
Lineage: Eukaryota; Fungi
Description: eukaryotic LSU rRNA
Rfam family: 5.8S ribosomal RNA (bases 148-301)
Source: RNAcentral
CGGACUUGCCCUGGGACGACCUACCCUGCAGCGAGUUACCCUGUAACGAGUUGCCCUGUAGAGACCUGCCCUGUAGCCUGCCCGCCGGCGGCCAACUUAAACUCUGUUUUAUUGUGGCAUUUUUGAGGAUUAUUCUAAAAUAAUUAAAACUUUCAACAACGGAUCUCUUGGUUCUGGCAUCGAUGAAGAACGCAGCGAAAUGCGAUAAGUAAUGUGAAUUGCAGAAUUCAGUGAAUCAUCGAAUCUUUGAACGCACAUUGCGCCCAUUAGUAUUCCAGUGGGCAUGCCUGUUCGAGCGUCAUUUCAACCAUCAAGCCUAGUUUGGUAUUGGGUGGGUGACUUGUAGGCCCGCCGCGCAUCAUCUCAAAAUAGAUGGGAGGACUCGUGGGGAGGCUCAGAGUAGUACAUAUUCUCGCCCUAGGCAUCGGCGGGUGGGCUUAGCCGAUGCUUCUUUUAACCACAUUGACCUCGGAUCAGGUAGGGAUACCCGCUGAA